AACUCAUGAUGAGGGCACCGUCUCAAUAAAUCCUUGUAUCUCUCCCAUGCAUCGUAUAAAGUCUCUAAAUCAAUCUGAAUAAAGGAAGAGGUGUCAUUCCUCAACUU
Gossypium raimondii (Peruvian cotton) is the source of this 107-nucleotide small nucleolar RNA. It matches the Rfam family "Plant small nucleolar RNA R71". Rfam says of the family: R71 is a member of the C/D box family of snoRNAs containing the C (UGAUGA) and D (CUGA) box motifs. Multiple nearly identical copies of this snoRNA have been identified in Arabidopsis, and it is thought to function as a 2'-O-ribose methylation guide for 18S ribosomal RNA. The record is from Rfam. Lineage: Eukaryota; Viridiplantae; Streptophyta; Magnoliopsida; Malvales; Malvaceae.